Molecule: ribosomal RNA, 497 nt
Filed under: uncultured bacterium
Lineage: Bacteria
Description: partial 16S ribosomal RNA
Rfam family: Bacterial small subunit ribosomal RNA
Source: RNAcentral
GACGAACGCUGGCGGCGUGCCUAAUACAUGCAAGUAGAACGCUGAAGCUUGGUGCUUGCACCGAGCGGAUGAGUUGCGAACGGGUGAGUAACGCGUAGGUAACCUGCCUGGUAGCGGGGGAUAUCUAUUGGAAACGAUAGCUAAUACCGCAUAAGAGUAGAUGUUGCAUGACAUUUGCUUAAAAGGUGCAAUUGCAUCACUACCAGAUGGACCUGCGUUGUAUUAGCUAGUUGGUGAGGUAACGGCUCACCAAGGCAACGAUACAUAGCCGACCUGAGAGGGUGAUCGGCCACACUGGGACUGAGACACGGCCCAGACUCCUACGGGAGGCAGCAGUAGGGAAUCUUCGGCAAUGGACGGAAGUCUGACCGAGCAACGCCGCGUGAGUGAAGAAGGUUUUCGGAUCGUAAAGCUCUGUUGUAAGAGAAGAACGAGUGUGAGAGUGGAAAGUUCACACUGUGACGGUAUCUUACCAGAAAGGGACGGCUAACUACGUG